UACUGCUGCCAGAGCUGAGUUAGACAUUAACGGAAGCGGUUGGUGAACACUAGAGCUAGUGAAAAGAAGAGUUCGUUUGAUUUGUUUCAGCCCCAGGACCGAGGCGUUCAAGUGGCGUGACUGGCGUGCCCUGUCUGCAAUCCUCCCUUUCAGUAAGCCCCAGGACCGAGGCGUUCAGGUGGCGUGAAUUCGGCGUGCCCUGUCUGCAAUCCUGCAUUUCAGUAAGCCCCAGGACCGAAGCGUUGAGGUGGCGUGACUGGCGUGAAUUCGGCGUGCCCUGUCUGCAAUCCUGCCUUUCAGUAAGGGGCAGUAAGGACAAGAUCCACCCACCACCCAGUGCAUGCGUGCAUAUGUGUGUGUAAUAAAUUGAGAGGGAAAGUGUGUGUGAUAAAUGAAAUUUAAUAAAGUAAGUAAAAUUUUGAA
Alosa alosa (allis shad) is the source of this 423-nucleotide long non-coding RNA. RefSeq lists it as uncharacterized. The transcript is spliced from 5 exons. Lineage: Eukaryota; Metazoa; Chordata; Actinopteri; Clupeiformes; Clupeidae. The record is from RefSeq and is a predicted model, not a curated record.